UCACACGUCUUCUGGGUCUGUGUGCAGGCAGGGUACUCAGAUCGUCUCAUUGCUUUCCUGUCCUUCGGCAGGUGCAUGAGUCUACCUGGGGAGAGCCCUGAUCUGCACUUUCUGCAUCCUGACAAAGAGAAAUUAUGCUUCAGUGACAAUCCCCGGUUGCCUACGCGAUGCAAACCGGUCAAGCGUUGAGAGCCCUGCAGUGGCUCUGCACCGAAGGGUAUAAAUCCUUUCGUCCCGAGUUGGCACCUCAUCGCUUGCUUCUCUUUCAGGGAUUUCCUCCAUUCUUGGAGAAGACAUACCUUUCACACCAACCCUUUCAUCACCUAACUAUGGUUGAGACCUCCUUCCAAUCACAUACCUCACCCCCGUCAUGGAUUACGAAGGAUACCAAUUCAUAAACCUCCUAAGUGUAAUGCCACACGUUGGAAAUGUGUAGUAUUUGACAGGAGCCGAAAUGAAACCGACUUGUUGCUCAGAUAAUUACAGCCUCCUCAGCCCCAGGCUUGAGACCAGCCUCUAUUACUCAGAAGAAUUUGUGCAACUCCGUGCUUCUCUAUCUUCAAGCAUCAGCAUGUUCGACUCUUGGUUUCAAUCCAGAACCUGCCCUGUUUUUAUAGAACAAAACUCCAGCUUCGAUCUGAAAAUGAAGAUCCCAGGUCCGCACUUCAGUACAGUCCAAAGGCAAAGUUUCUGGUGGGAUACUUCCGUUACCAGCCCGUCACCUUGGUAAAGGCUUUCAGACACAUCAAACCAAAGGAAAGAGGCUCUUUCUUUUUCUUGUUGUUCCAGAUCAGAUAACGUUGCCUGAUUAGUUCCUCCACCAUGAAUUCAUACCGCAGGUACCCACAUGCCAGCCCUUUGCUGAAAGGCCAUCAGCCAAAUUGCUUCCUGCAUAAUCAUUCAUAUUUUGCCUCAUGCUUUCCCUUCUCCACCUCUAUUUCCGGCUCCUCCCCCUGAAAUAGCAAAAUGCUUGCAAAGAAAAUGUGUCAACAGGUGAAAUUUAUAGGAGUUUCCUGGCCCACACAGAAACACGAACCACAGGCGUCCCCAAAGGGGAGAUUUUCUUACCCAGACACUUACUCUCUUGAAUAUGCCCUGAUUCAUUCAUAUAUGAGUUCUCUAGAGAAACCGGUUAUCUUUUUUAGGGAAUCACAGUAUGGAGCUUCUGUUUGGAAAGAGUGGCUUUGAUGAAGGCCAGUUGGGAUUAUUUAGUUGCAGUUACAGAAAAGCCCAACCCAAACUAGCUUAGAAAGGGAAAUUAGUGAUUCAGAAGCUGAAAACGCUGACUUCAGGUUUAACUCUAUUCGGGACUCAAGCAGAUCGGUAGCACCUGCUUAGUUUUUUAAUCUCCAUUUCUUUGUUCUGGCUUCCUUUAGGUUGACUUCAGCUUUUAGUUUUAUGGGUACCAGAAAGGUACCUACCUGCUAGCCUGAUUCAUUCUCCUAUGUUUUAGGUCAGAGGUUAUGAGAGUCUCUUUCCCCAAAGAUUCAGGGAAAAUGUCACUGCAUCUCAUUUGGCUCUGACUAGGCCAUGCACGAUCCAUGAAAGUCAGUGGACAGGAAAUGAGACAUGCUGAUGGUUUAGGCCUGGGUCACAAGCUCCGCCCCUGAGGCUGGGUGUGGAGUCAGCUUUAAUGGGACCGCGUAAGAAUCAGGUAGGGACCUGGAGGUCUCUGGCAAUGACCACUGCGGUCAGUUCUGCCUUCUAAGAAAUGACGCCUUCGUGUCACGUGAUGUUUUGUUUCCACUGAACAAGCCAGCCGCCUACCUUGAAAAUAGCCCGCAUCUUCUCAUGUAAAAUAGGAAUCCACCUCCAAAGCCAGGCUGACUUAGGGAAAAGGUUACUUUCUGAUCUAACUUCCAGCAGUGAGGCUAGUUUGCCAAAGUUUUGGUGUAAGUGGGUUGGUAUAGAAAACUUACUCAAAAGUAUCUCAAAGUCUAUAGCAGGAGCACUUAACAUUCUUUCUUUUUUUUUUUUUUUAAGUUUAUUUUAAGAGACAGAGCAGACGAGGGGCGGAGAGAGAGACAGGGAGAGAGAGAAUCCCAGGCAGGCUCUGUGCUGUCAACGUGGAGCCUGAUGCGGUGCUGGAACUCACAAACCGUGAGAUCGUGACCCGAGCCGAAACCAGGAGUCGGACCCUUAACCAACUGAGCCACCCAGACUCCCCGGACCACUUUACGUUCUUUAAAGCAUGAAGAUCCUCCACUGGUUUGAAGCCUACUACAAUAAGCCUUUCUUACUGGUCUCCUUGGGUUUUUGUUUUUGUUGCCUAAGACGACUAUGAUAUACUUAGACCUCUGUAGCCUGAUCAGGCUGCCCCAGGAGGGAGCGGACGAGGUUAUGUGCCUUUCCAAAUAAACGUUUGGGAUUAGGAUUUUAAUCA
RNAcentral lists this long non-coding RNA (2383 nucleotides) under Felis catus (domestic cat). RNAcentral describes it as "lncRNA (ENSFCAG00000048907.1)". Lineage: Eukaryota; Metazoa; Chordata; Mammalia; Carnivora; Felidae. The record is from RNAcentral.